UUAAGACCAGGGUCUUGCUAUGUAGACCAGGCUGGCUUUGAAAUCUUCUGAGUGCUGGGAGUUUCUAAGCAUGCACGGCCAACCCUGGCUGACUCUAAUUGAAGUCCGGUCUUUAGGUUUCAGUGAAUGCCGUUCAGAAGUCACUCACCCCCAAACUGGAAACUCUGUUUAUGAUCUGAUUCAAGGACUCAAGUGCUAUUCUGAUGUCACAGAAGGCUUAUAUCUGUAGAGCAUCCACUGUGAGCCUUCAGGAUGUUUGCUGCUCAGUGACUUCAUCCCCAUUUGAAGCUCCUAUGAUAUGGAGAGAGUGGUUUGGAACACGGUACCUCUUGAAUUCUUCAAGCCAAGCGUCAUACACACCCAUUAAAGGAGCGGGGAAUCCUUGACGUGUGACUAAUAAAAAGCUACUGAGAGGCAGCGACUCCCUAGUGCAGAAGUCAGAAGAAAGCCAGCAAAUACCAAGGCUUCUCAUAAGCUCUCAGAAGCCCUAACAGAGUGGCCGCAGUGGAACCCUACUUUGUAACUGCUAUAGUAUGCCCAAAAUCUUUUUGUUUCCUCCAAAUAAAUAAAUAAAUAAAUAAAUGA
Myodes glareolus (Bank vole) is the source of this 585-nucleotide non-coding RNA. The record is from RefSeq and is a predicted model, not a curated record. Lineage: Eukaryota; Metazoa; Chordata; Mammalia; Rodentia; Cricetidae.